This 292-nucleotide ribosomal RNA is filed under the name uncultured bacterium. Its description in RNAcentral is "partial 16S ribosomal RNA". It matches the Rfam family "Bacterial small subunit ribosomal RNA", at positions 505 to 796 of the family's 1533-position model. The record is from RNAcentral.
GUGUCAGCAGCCGCGGUAAUACAGAGGGGGCAAGCGUUGUCCGGAUUUACUGGGCGUACAGCGCGCGCAGGCGGCCGUGUAUGUGACCGGUGACAGUCGCGGGCUCAACCCGCGCCGGCCCGGUUACACAGCACAGCUGGAGGCAGGGAGAGGGAUGUGGAAUACCCGGUGGAGCGGUGAAAUGCGUAGAGAUCGGGUGGAACACCAGCGGCGAAGGCGGCAUCCUGGCCCUGUACUGACGCUGAGGCGCGAUAGCGUGGGGAGCAAACGGGAUUAGAAACCCCAGUAGUCC